AUUCGUGGAGACAGAGGAGUCUUGGACCAUGUGCGCAACUGGAGCGUAGGAGUGUGCACUCGUCUUCUCGGAAAGGAAGGGCUGGAAAUAACCCUGACAGUGUUAGGCUUGGUGGCGAUCAGGGACAGAUGACUCUUACCGGUAGCCGUUUGCCCAAAUGCUUCUGCCCUUUGGAAGAGUCUUUGUGGCAGUGUGAGUUGUCUCCAGUAAGGGACCCUGGAGGGAGUGGCUCAUCCUAGCUAUAAAGAGUGUGUUAUUUUUAUCUUUUUUUUUUAAAGAAUCACUUUUUCUAAGUAUGUCGGAGUGAUUGAGCAGAGAGAAAAAUGAAUACCCUAAGCGAACUAGAAAUCUGGAAAGAACCGAAAUAGAGGCAGUGUCUCAUGACACUUUACUUGAGGACUCACCUGAUGAACUGCUGAUCAACUCUAUAGAUUCCUUCACCUAACCAGAACUGACUUCAUCAGAGAGUUAUGAUGGUUAACUCUAUCAGUCUUCUACCUGAAUGCCCCAAGAUAUUGAUGAAGUCAACAAAAACAUUGAGCCUCAGAACACAAGAAAUCUUGGACAAACUGGGAGACAGCUUGUCAGUAUCUAAGGGAAUGCAUCUGGAAAAGAGACUACCAGCAGAAGAGCAUAAAGGGGCGUGGAAGCCUAAACUGAACGAAGACCAAAGUGUGGACACUUUGCCCCUUCUUAGAAUUUGAAACAAUCACCCAUGGAAGGAGUUACAGAGACAAAGUUUGGAGCUGAGACAAAAGGAUGGACCAUCUAGAGACUGCCAUAUCCAGGGAUCCAUCCCAUAAUUAGCCUCCAAACGCUGACACCAUUGCAUACACUAGCAAGAUUUUGCUGAAAGGACCCAGAUGUAGCUCUCUCUUGUGAGAUUAUGCCGGGGCCUAGCAAAGACAGAAGUGGAUGCUAACAGUCAACUAUUGGAUGGAUCACAGGACCCCCAAGGGAGGAGCUAGAGAAAGUAUCCAAGGAGCUAAAGGGACCUGCAACCCUAUAGGCGGAACAACAUUAUGAACUAACCAGUACCCCGGAGCUCGUGUCUCCAGCUGCAUAUGUUUCAAAAGAUGGCCUAGUCGGCCAUCACUGGAAAGAGAGGCCCAUUGGACAGGCAAACUUUAUAUGCCCCAGUACAGGGGAACACCAGGGCCAAAAAAUGGGAAUGUGUGGGUAGGGGAGUGGGGGGUGGUGAGGGUGUGGGGGACUUUUGGGACAGCAUUGGAAAUGUAAUUGAGGAAAAUAUGUAAUAAAAAAAUAGAAAAAAAUAAAAAAUAAAAUUUGAAAUGUA
Molecule: long non-coding RNA, 1297 nt
Filed under: Mus musculus (house mouse)
Lineage: Eukaryota; Metazoa; Chordata; Mammalia; Rodentia; Muridae
Description: predicted gene, 30439
Source: RNAcentral